Long non-coding RNA from Trachemys scripta elegans, 730 nucleotides. RefSeq lists it as uncharacterized. NCBI's taxonomy places the organism in Eukaryota, Metazoa, Chordata, Testudines, Emydidae. The transcript has 2 exons. The record is from RefSeq and is a predicted model, not a curated record.
UAUUGACAUCCUUCCGUACUGCUGGCUGGGAUAAAACACUAAUUUUCCAUUAGACAAUAGCCCCUACAAUGUGCUAGGCUAGGCACUGUCCACAUCAUCCAACCGGAGAGAAACUGCCUCUCCUCCCCAGGACAUAUACCACACUUGAGAUCAGCAGAGGCACCAAAGCUGAAGCUCCCUUGAAUAGAACAGAAGAUGCUGCUGGCAGGGCAUUCUGGGAAGGCCCCAUGACUGUGUGAUUCAACUCCUUUAACUUGGUCAAAAAUAACCCAGAUUUGUAGACCUUCAAGGCAUGCUGCAAAGCCUAUUACUGUUAAGCAGGCAUUUGGCAAGGGCUGAAGUGGCUGGCGGUGGGGUUUCUUUGGGGAAUUUGGGUGAGGAGAUAUUGAUUCGGUUUGUGAUGUGAUUUGCUACUGGGUGGCUAUCUGUAUAGGGGAAAAUGUGCUGCUGUUGUAGAUCUGUAAUGAUGUCUGUUGUGCGUUUUUAUUUGAUGGCAAGGACACCUAGAAUCUGGGAUAGGCCUUACUGUGUAUCUAUUUAAAUCAAAAUAAAUAAAUACCCUGAAGAACUCACAACUUAAGGUCCUGUGUAACAUGUCACACAGUUGCUAAAAUAAGUUCAACUCUAUUGGCAUUAGCAAUGGUAGAAGUAUAAUGUAGAUGUGCUGUUGGCAUUUUACAUGCUGCCUCAUCGAAACGUGUUCAGAUCAGGUCUAGUGGACUUUUUUUUU